This 25-nucleotide non-coding RNA is filed under the name Cricetulus griseus (Chinese hamster). Lineage: Eukaryota; Metazoa; Chordata; Mammalia; Rodentia; Cricetidae. The record is from RNAcentral.
GUGGUUCUCUUGAAAUUUUUUUCAG